RNAcentral lists this long non-coding RNA (394 nucleotides) under Rattus norvegicus (Norway rat). RNAcentral's name for it is "long non-coding RNA NONRATT001932". Lineage: Eukaryota; Metazoa; Chordata; Mammalia; Rodentia; Muridae. The record is from RNAcentral.
GCUUGAGAGCCAUCCGUGUGACAUUUCUACCUGUCCCGUGGCAGGCUACUGACCAGUUAGCCUCCAUCCCCAAAAAUGGGCAGUGCUCUGAUCUCCAUGGUGACCCAUUCCAUCCUGGUCUCCGUGGACUUUUGUUGACCCCACAUCACGUAAGCCAAGUGCAUUUUCCUCCUGACUCUUUCUAUCAGCUCCUGCUUCCAACUAUCAAAGGAGAGAGACUGUGUUACAAAGCUUUCAUUUUCACUCAUCAAAGGAGCCCAGCAGUUUGGGGGAAUGAAGAAAAACCAUGUAACUCGCACUUGGCUGCCCAGAGCAAAGGUUCCCUUGAAAUUCAAAGCGAUCUCAACCUAAAUUUUAGUUAUUUAUACUUCUAGAUCUGAAACGAAGACCAAAA